CUCUGCCCGUAAAGACUCUCACCACACGGCAGCACCAGAGACGCUCUGAACCUCUUCUGGUCAGGGGGCUGCCUGAUUCCCAUAUCAUUCUUUGCUCAAUUAAACUCUGUUAAAUGUAGUUUGCCUCAGUUUUCCUUUUAACAGGCAGAAACUACCACCUCACAGAAUUGCUAUGAAGACUGAACAUGGUCACUCUGUGAAAACAUUUCAUAAACUGUGUGUCGCUUGCGAAUGCUGUUAUUUUUCUCAUCUGUAAAAUAAAGGAAUUCAACCAGGGGAUUUGAAUAGUUUCUGUAUUCAUUUCCUGUGGCUGCCAUAACCAAGCACCACAAAUCGGGUGGUUCAUAGCCACAGAACUGUGUCCUCCUGCGGUUCUGGAAGCCGAGUCUGAAAUGAAGGUGGCGGCAGGGCUGUCCUUCCUCUGACGGCUCAGGAC
This 436-nucleotide long non-coding RNA is filed under the name Homo sapiens (human). RNAcentral describes it as "non-protein coding lnc-FBP1-2:1". The record is from RNAcentral. Lineage: Eukaryota; Metazoa; Chordata; Mammalia; Primates; Hominidae.